GACGAACGCUGGCGGCGUGCUUAACACAUGCAAGUCGAACGGAAAGGCCCUGCUUUUGUGGGGUGCUCGAGUGGCGAACGGGUGAGUAACACGUGAGUAACCUGCCCUUGACUUUGGGAUAACUUCAGGAAACUGGGGCUAAUACCGGAUAGGAGCUCCUGCUGCAUGGUGGGGGUUGGAAAGUUUCGGCGGUUGGGGAUGGACUCGCGGCUUAUCAGCUUGUUGGUGGGGUAGUGGCUUACCAAGGCUUUGACGGGUAGCCGGCCUGAGAGGGUGACCGGCCACAUUGGGACUGAGGUAGGGCCCAGACUGCUACGGGAGGCAGCAGUGGGGAAUAUUGCACAAUGGGCGGAAGCCUGAUGCAGCAACGCCGCGUGCGGGAUGACGGCCUUCGGGUUGUAAACCGCUUUCGACUGUGACGAAGCGUGAGUGACGGUAAUGGGUAAAGAAGCACCGGCUAACUACGUG
This 468-nucleotide ribosomal RNA is filed under the name uncultured bacterium. RNAcentral describes it as "partial 16S ribosomal RNA". It matches the Rfam family "Bacterial small subunit ribosomal RNA", at positions 28 to 507 of the family's 1533-position model. The record is from RNAcentral.